RNAcentral lists this ribosomal RNA (738 nucleotides) under Triticum aestivum (bread wheat). RNAcentral describes it as "partial small subunit ribosomal RNA". Lineage: Eukaryota; Viridiplantae; Streptophyta; Magnoliopsida; Poales; Poaceae. The record is from RNAcentral.
AUGGAGGACACGGCGGCGACGCUGGCGACGGAGCUGGACGGGCUGCUGGCCAUGGCGAGGGAGCUGGAGGCGCGCGUCGACGGCGACCAGGGCGCGCCGGGCGCCGCCAGGGAGCUCUGCGCCGAGCUGGCCGCGUCUGUCGACCGGGCCAUGCGCCUCGCCGGCGAAGGCAAUGCCACCGGCAGGGCGAGCGUGAGCGGCAGGAAGGCCGCGGCGGGGAAGGUGAGGAGGCAGGUGCGGGUGGCGUCGGUGACGGACGCGGGGCCGCUCAACGACGGGCUGAGCUGGCGAAAGUACGGCCAGAAGGACAUCCUCGGCGCCCCGUACCCCAGGGCAUACUUCCGGUGCACGCACCGGCACACGCAGGGCUGCCAGGCCACCAAGCAGGUGCAACGCGCCGCCGCCGACCCGCUGCUCUUCGAUGUUAUCUACCACGGCGCGCACACCUGCGCCCAGGCCGCCGCGCAGCAGCAGUCGCCUGCUGGCUUCGAGCAGGAGCAGGAGAGCCCGCCGGCCGCGGUGCCGGAGGGGAUUCAGUGGCCGGUCACGCCGCCCUCGUUCCCCUCCCCGCCGGCCGGCACCGUUGGAGACUGCUACCCCUCCGUGUGCGAGCUUGCCGGCGGCUACGGCUACGCCGCCGGCGGAGGCCUCGGGGCUGACAUGGGGUUCGGUGGUCAACUGGACGAGUGGUUCUUGAAUCUGUCCGACGCUUUCCAACCGGAGGUUCAGAACCUGUAG